RNAcentral lists this ribosomal RNA (497 nucleotides) under uncultured bacterium. RNAcentral describes it as "partial 16S ribosomal RNA". It matches the Rfam family "Bacterial small subunit ribosomal RNA", at positions 28 to 507 of the family's 1533-position model. The record is from RNAcentral.
GAUGAACGCUGGCGGCGUGCCUAAUACAUGCAAGUAGAACGCUGAAGGAAGGAGCUUGCUCUUUCCGGAUGAGUUGCGAACGGGUGAGUAACGCGUAGGUAACCUGCCUGGUAGCGGGGGAUAACUAUUGGAAACGAUAGCUAAUACCGCAUAACAGUAGAUGUUGCAUGAUAUCUACUUAAAAGGUGCAAUUGCACCACUACCAGAUGGACCUGCGUUGUAUUAGCUAGUUGGUGAGGUAACGGCUCACCAAGGCGACGAUACAUAGCCGACCUGAGAGGGUGAUCGGCCACACUGGGACUGAGACACGACCCAGACUCCUACGGGAGGCAGCAGUAGGGAAUCUUCGGCAAUGGACGGAAGUCUGACCGAGCAACGCCGCGUGAGUGAAGAAGGUUUUCGAAUCGUAAAGCUCUGUUGUAAGAGAAGAACGAGUGUGAGAGUGGAAAGUUCACACUGUGACGGUAUCUUACCAGAAAGGGACGGCUAACUACGUG